RNAcentral lists this non-coding RNA (27 nucleotides) under Homo sapiens (human). Lineage: Eukaryota; Metazoa; Chordata; Mammalia; Primates; Hominidae. The record is from RNAcentral.
UGCUGCUGUUACAGAGUGUGACAGAGG